This 880-nucleotide ribosomal RNA is filed under the name uncultured archaeon. RNAcentral's name for it is "bacterial SSU rRNA". It matches the Rfam family "Archaeal small subunit ribosomal RNA", at positions 21 to 908 of the family's 1478-position model. The record is from RNAcentral.
CCUGACUGCUAUCGGAUUGAUACUAAGCCAUGCGAGUCAUUGUAGCAAUACAAGGCAGACGGCUCAGUAACGCGUAGUCAAUCUACCCUAUGGACGGGAAUAACCUCGGGAAACUGAGAAUAAUGCCCGAUAGAACAUUAUGCCUGGAAUGGUUUAUGUUUCAAAUGAUUUAUCGCCAUAGGAUGGGACUGCGGCCUAUCAGUUUGUUGGUGAGGUAAUGGCCCACCAAGACUAUUACAGGUACGGGCUCUGAGAGGAGUAGCCCGGAGAUGGGUACUGAGACACGGACCCAGGCCCUAUGGGGCGCAGCAGGCGAGAAAACUUUGCAAUGUGCGAAAGCACGACAAGGUUAAUCCGAGUGGUUUCUGCUAAAGAAACCUUUUGUCAGUCCUAGAAACACUAACGAAUAAGGGGUGGGCAAGUUCUGGUGUCAGCCGCCGCGGUAAAACCAGCACCUCAAGUGGUCAGGAUGAUUAUUGGGCCUAAAGCAUCCGUAGCUCGUUUUGUAAGUUUUCGGUUAAAUCCAUGCGCUUAACGUAUGGGCUGCCGGGAAUACUGCAUAACUAGGAAGUGGGAGAGGUAGACGGUACUCGGGAGGAAGGGGUAAAAUCCUUUGAUCUCUUGAUGACCACCUGUGGCGAAGGCGGUCUACCAGAACACGUUCGACGGUGAGGGAUGAAAGCUGGGGGAGCAAACCGGAUUAGAUACCCGGGUAGUCCCAGCUGUAAACUAUGCAAACUCAGUGAUGCAUUGGCUUAUGGCCAAUGCAGUGCUGCGGGGAAGCCGUUAAGUUUGCCGCCUGGGAAGUACGUACGCAAGUAUGAAACUUAAAGGAAUUGGCGGGGGAGCACCACAAGGGGUGAAGCCUGCGGUUCAAUUG